This 87-nucleotide transfer RNA is filed under the name Tychonema bourrellyi FEM_GT703. It matches the Rfam family "tRNA". From Rfam's summary of the family: Transfer RNA (tRNA) molecules are approximately 80 nucleotides in length. Lineage: Bacteria; Bacillati; Cyanobacteriota; Cyanophyceae; Oscillatoriales; Microcoleaceae. The record is from Rfam by way of RNAcentral.
GGAGAAGUGGCCGAGCGGCUUAAGGCGCUUUCCUGCUAAGAAAGAGCGGUUUAACACCCGCCGUGGGUUCAAAUCCCACCUUCUCCG